Molecule: ribosomal RNA, 2901 nt
Filed under: Chitinimonas sp. BJB300
Lineage: Bacteria; Pseudomonadati; Pseudomonadota; Betaproteobacteria; Neisseriales; Chitinibacteraceae
Description: bacterial LSU rRNA
Rfam family: Bacterial large subunit ribosomal RNA
Source: RNAcentral
GUUAUAGGGUCAAGCGAAUAAGUGCAUCUGGUGGAUGCCUUGGCGAUGAUAGGCGAAGAAGGACGUGUAAGCCUGCGAAAAGCUUCGGGGAGCUGGCAAUUGAGCUUUGAUCCGGAGAUGUCCGAAUGGGGAAACCCACCCUUAGGGGUAUCCCAGACUGAAUACAUAGGUCUGAGGAAGCGAACUCAGCGAACUGAAACAUCUAAGUAGCUGAAGGAAAAGAAAUCAACCGAGAUUCCGUAAGUAGUGGCGAGCGAACGCGGAGUAGCCUGUACGUGAUAGUCAAACUCUUAGUAGAACGGAAUGGAAAGUCCGGCCAUAGUGGGUGAUAGCCCCGUAUGCGAAAAGAGCUUGGUGGUACUAAGCGUACGACAAGUAGGGCGGGACACGAGAAAUCCUGUCUGAAUAUGGGGGGACCAUCCUCCAAGGCUAAAUACUCAUCAUCGACCGAUAGUGAACCAGUACCGUGAGGGAAAGGCGAAAAGAACCGCGGGAGCGGAGUGAAAUAGAACCUGAAACCGGAUGCAUACAAACAGUGGGAGCCUCUUCGUGGGGUGACUGCGUACCUUUUGUAUAAUGGGUCAGCGACUUACAUUCAGUAGCGAGCUUAACCGAGUAGGGGAGGCGUAGCGAAAGCGAGUCCGAAUAGGGCGUUCAGUUGCUGGGUGUAGACCCGAAACCAAGUGAUCUAUCCAUGGCCAGGUUGAAGGUGCGGUAACACGCACUGGAGGACCGAACCCACUAGUGUUGCAAAACUAGGGGAUGAGCUGUGGAUAGGGGUGAAAGGCUAAACAAACUUGGAAAUAGCUGGUUCUCCUCGAAAACUAUUUAGGUAGUGCCUCAUGUAUCACUGACGGGGGUAAAGCACUGUUAUGGCUAGGGGGUCAUCGCGACUUACCAAACCAUGGCAAACUCUGAAUACCGUCAAGUGCGAGCAUGGGAGACAGACAUCGGGUGCUAACGUCCGGUGUCGAAAGGGAAACAACCCAGACCCUCAGCUAAGGUCCCAAAUGCAUAGUUAAGUGGAAAACGAAGUGGGAAGGCACAGACAGCCAGGAUGUUGGCUUAGAAGCAGCCAUCAUUUAAAGAAAGCGUAAUAGCUCACUGGUCGAGUCGUCCUGCGCGGAAGAUGUAACGGGGCUCAAACUAUGAACCGAAGCUAGGGAUAUGUGCGUAAGCACAUAUGGUAGAGGAGCGUUCCGUAGGUCUGUGAAGGUGUCUUGUGAAGGAUGCUGGAGAUAUCGGAAGUGCGAAUGCUGACAUGAGUAGCGAUAAACAGGGUGAAAUUCCCUGUCACCGAAAACCCAAGGUUUCCUGCGCAACGUUCAUCGGCGCAGGGUGAGUCGGCCCCUAAGGCGAGGCUGAAAAGCGUAGUCGAUGGGAAACAGGUUAAUAUUCCUGUACCGAUCUGUAAUGCGAUGUGGGGACGGAGAAAGCUAGGCCAUCCGGGUGUUGGAAGUCCCGGUUUAAGCGUGUAGACGUGUUUCGUAGGCAAAUCCGCGAGACUAAGUUGAGGCGUGAUGACGAGUCCUUUUAGGACGAAGUGGUUGAUGCUCUGCUUCCAGGAAAAGCCGCUAAGCUUCAGUUACAGAUUGACCGUACCGCAAACCGACACAGGUGGGUAGGAUGAGAAUUCUAAGGUGCUUGAGAGAACUCGGGUGAAGGAACUCGGCAAAUUGACACCGUAACUUCGGGAGAAGGUGUGCCCCGGUAGGUUGUAGGAGAACAUCCGAAGGCCGAUGGGGUUGCAGUGAAAAGGUGGCUGCGACUGUUUAUUAAAAACACAGCACUCUGCUAACACGAAAGUGGACGUAUAGGGUGUGACGCCUGCCCGGUGCCGGAAGGUUAAUUGAUGGGGUGCAAGCUCUUGAUCGAAGCCCCGGUAAACGGCGGCCGUAACUAUAACGGUCCUAAGGUAGCGAAAUUCCUUGUCGGGUAAGUUCCGACCCGCACGAAUGGCGUAACGAUGGCCACACUGUCUCCACCCGAGACUCAGCGAAGUUGAAAUGUUUGUGAAGAUGCAAUCUCCCCGCUGCUAGACGGAAAGACCCCGUGCACCUUUACUGUAGCUUUACAUUGGACUUUGAACAGACUUGUGUAGGAUAGCUGGGAGGCUUUGAAGUGAGGACGCUAGUUCGCAUGGAGCCGACGUUGAAAUACCAGCCUGGUGUGUUUGAGGUUCUAACCUAGGUCCAUGAUCUGGAUCGGGGACCGUGUAUGGUAGGCAGUUUGACUGGGGCGGUCUCCUCCCAAAGUGUAACGGAGGAGCUCGAAGGUAUCCUAGGUACGGUCGGAAAUCGUACUGAUAGUGCAAUGGCAUAAGGAUGCUUAACUGCGAGACUGACAAGUCGAGCAGGUGCGAAAGCAGGACAUAGUGAUCCGGUGGUUCUGAAUGGAAGGGCCAUCGCUCAACGGAUAAAAGGUACGCCGGGGAUAACAGGCUGAUUCCUCCCAAGAGUUCACAUCGACGGGGGAGUUUGGCACCUCGAUGUCGGCUCAUCACAUCCUGGGGCUGUAGCCGGUCCCAAGGGUAUGGCUGUUCGCCAUUUAAAGUGGUACGUGAGCUGGGUUUAAAACGUCGUGAGACAGUUUGGUCCCUAUCUGCAGUGGGCGUUGGAAGUUUGAAGGGGGCUGCUCCUAGUACGAGAGGACCGGAGUGGACGAACCUCUGGUGUACCGGUUAUGACGCCAGUCGUAUCGCCGGGUAGCUAAGUUCGGAAGAGAUAACCGCUGAAAGCAUCUAAGCGGGAAACUUGCCUUAAGAUGAGACUUCCCUGGGACUUCGAGUCCCCUGAAGGGUCGUUCAAGACCAGGACGUUGAUAGGUCAGGUGUGGAAGCGCAGUAAUGCGUUAAGCUAACUGAUACUAAUUGCCCGUGAGGCUUGAUCCUAUAACCCAAGA